Molecule: long non-coding RNA, 690 nt
Organism: Oncorhynchus tshawytscha (Chinook salmon)
Lineage: Eukaryota; Metazoa; Chordata; Actinopteri; Salmoniformes; Salmonidae
Source: Ensembl
CUGAGUUCAUGGCUCCCUGUAUUGACUCCCUCCCACCGCUGGCUUUCACCAAUCGGAGGCCUAUACCAACCAUGUUACGUCCCCCCUCUCAAUUGGCCAUACGCGCUCAGGAUGCACAGCGGUUCAUUGUAUUUUCAUACUUUGUCCCUGCUGAGUGCCCAGUUGCCACAGAGGCCACAGCAGAUGUAUCUACUGGUAAAAGAGAGGACUUAUUGACAGAUACACAUCUUUCCUCAAUGCUGCAUCGAUACCUGCCACACUUCUUUAACGAUGACUCCAUUCCACCACAGCAGACAGUAGAGGGAACCACUGAGCUCUCAGUUGCUCCAGUGGCAAUAUCUAAUAUAAAGGAAGAGGACAGAUUCUAUCCUUUCUCCCUCCCACCACUGGCUCAGCGGUUCGUUGGCAAUUCAUUAAUUGUCCCAGGAACCUCCCAGCCUGCUGUUUCAGCCACAGAGUGCCGAGUUGCCAAAGAGGCCACUGCAGACACAGCCACUGUCAAGAGAGAGAACCGAUGGGCAGCCAGAAGUCUUCCUUCAGUGCUGCCUCCAUGCCUGCCACCAAGUGCCGAGUUGCCAAAGAUGCCACUGCAGACACAGCCACUGUCAAGAGAGAGAACCGAUGGGCAGCCAGAAGUCUUCCUUCAGUGCUGCCUCCAUGCCUGCCACCAGUCUUUGACGAUGACUUCAA